RNAcentral lists this ribosomal RNA (230 nucleotides) under uncultured bacterium. Its description in RNAcentral is "partial 16S ribosomal RNA". It matches the Rfam family "Archaeal small subunit ribosomal RNA", at positions 518 to 747 of the family's 1478-position model. The record is from RNAcentral.
UCUGUAGCCGGCCAGGUAAGUCCCUUGGGAAAUCUGGCAGCUCAACUGUCAGGCUGCUAGGGGAUACUGUUUGGCUUGGGACCGGGAGAGGUGAGAGGUACCUUGGGGGUAGGGGUGAAAUCUUGUGAUCCUCGGGGGACCACCAGUGGCGAAGGCGUCUCACCAGAACGGGUCCGACGGUAAGGGACGAAAGCUAGGGGCACGAACAGGAUUAGAUACCCUGGUAGUCC